This is an RNA transcript of Piliocolobus tephrosceles (Ugandan red Colobus), 905 nucleotides long. It is a transcript of the gene named glutamate receptor ionotropic, kainate 2 pseudogene, with no coding region annotated. The record is from RefSeq and is a predicted model, not a curated record. NCBI's taxonomy places the organism in Eukaryota, Metazoa, Chordata, Mammalia, Primates, Cercopithecidae. The transcript has a single exon.
GCUGCUCUAAUGUAUGAUGCUGUGCAUGUGGUGUCUGUGGCCGUCCAACAGUUUCCCCAGAUGACAGUCAGUUCCUUGCAGUGUAAUCGACAUAAACCCUGGCGCUUCGGGACCCGCUUUAUGAGUCUAAUUAAAGAGGCACAUUGGGAAGGCCUCACAGGCAGAAUAACUUUCAACAAAACCAAUGGCUUACGAACAGAUUUUGAUUUGGAUGUGAUCAGUCUCAAGGAAGAAGGUCUAGAAAAGAUUGGAACGUGGGAUCCAGCCAGUGGCCUGAAUAUGACAGAAAGUCAAAAGGGAAAGCCAGCAAACAUCACAGAUUCCUUAUCCAAUCGUUCUUUGAUUGUUACCACCAUUUUGGAAGAACCCUAUGUCCUUUUUAAGAAGUCUGACAAACCUCUCUAUGGCAAUGAUCGAUUUGAAGGCUAUUGCAUUGAUCUCCUCAGAGAGUUAUCUACAAUCCUUGGCUUUACAUAUGAAAUUAGACUUGUGGAAGAUGGGAAAUAUGGAGCCCAGGAUGAUGCCAAUGGACAAUGGAAUGGAAUGGUUCGUGAACUAAUUGAUCAUAAAGCUGACCUUGCAGUUGCUCCACUGGCUAUUACCUAUGUUCGAGAGAAGGUCAUCGACUUUUCCAAGCCCUUUAUGACACUUGGAAUAAGUAUUUUGUACCGCAAGCCCAAUGGUACAAACCCAGGCGUCUUCUCCUUCCUGAAUCCUCUCUCCCCUGAUAUCUGGAUGUAUAUUCUGCUGGCUUACUUGGGUGUCAGUUGUGUGCUCUUUGUCAUAGCCAGGUAACAUGCUCACUUUUGUGAUUUUUUUGGCAAUUGUUACCUCCUUUAUCUAACUAAUAAUUGUCAAAAGUCACAAUCAAUUUUACUUUUUCUGUUCUUUAUUUUCCACGGGGU